This 253-nucleotide ribosomal RNA is filed under the name uncultured bacterium. Its description in RNAcentral is "partial 16S ribosomal RNA". It matches the Rfam family "Bacterial small subunit ribosomal RNA", at positions 524 to 776 of the family's 1533-position model. The record is from RNAcentral.
UACGUAGGGUGCAAGCGUUGUCCGGAAUUACUGGGCGUAAAGAGCUCGUAGGUGGUUUGUCGCGUUGUUCGUGAAAACUCACAGCUCAACUGUGGGCGUGCGGGCGAUACGGGCAGACUUGAGUACUGCAGGGGAGACUGGAAUUCCUGGUGUAGCGGUGGAAUGCGCAGAUAUCAGGAGGAACACCGGUGGCGAAGGCGGGUCUAUGGGCAGUAACUGACGCUGAGGAGCGAAAGCGUGGGGAGCGAACAGG